GCGUCGGGGGUAUAGUGGUUAGCAUAGCUGCCUUCCAAGCAGUUAGCCCGGGUUCGAUUCCCGGCCGACGCA
This 72-nucleotide transfer RNA is filed under the name Dermacentor silvarum. Its description in RNAcentral is "transfer RNA glycine (anticodon UCC)". It matches the Rfam family "tRNA". From Rfam's summary of the family: Transfer RNA (tRNA) molecules are approximately 80 nucleotides in length. Their secondary structure includes four short double-helical elements and three loops (D, anti-codon, and T loops). The record is from RNAcentral. Lineage: Eukaryota; Metazoa; Arthropoda; Arachnida; Ixodida; Ixodidae.